AACGAACGCUGGCGGCAUGCCUAACACAUGCGAGUCGAACGAGACCUUCGGGUCUAGUGGCGCACGGGUGCGUAACGCGUGGGAACCUGCCCUUAGGUUCGGAAUAACUCCCCGAAAGGGGUGCUAAUACCGGAUAAUGUCUUCGGACCAAAGAUUUAUCGCCUUUGGAUGGGCCCGCGUUGGAAUAGCUAGUUGGUAGGGUAAAAGCCUACCAAGGCGACGAUCCAUAGCUGGUCUGAGAGGAUGAUCAGCCACACUGGGACUGAGACACGGCCCAGACUCCUACGGGAGGCAGCAGUGGGGAAUAUUGGACAAUGGGCGAAAGCCUGAUCCAGCAAUGCCGCGUGAGUGAUGAAGGCCUUAGGGUUGUAAAGCUCUUUUACCCGGGAUGAUAAUGACAGUACCGGGAGAAUAAGCGCCGGCUAACUCCGUG
Molecule: ribosomal RNA, 433 nt
Filed under: uncultured bacterium
Lineage: Bacteria
Description: partial 16S ribosomal RNA
Rfam family: Bacterial small subunit ribosomal RNA
Source: RNAcentral